UACGUAGGGGGCUAGCGUUGUCCGGAUUUAUUGGGCGUAAAGAGCGUGUAGGCGGCCAGGUAGGUCUGCUGUGAAAACUCGAGGCUCAACCUCGAGACGUCGGCGGAAACCAUCUGGCUAGAGUCCGGAAGAGGAGAGUGGAAUUCCUGGUGUAGCGGUGAAAUGCGCAGAUAUCAGGAAGAACACCCGUGGCGAAGGCGGCUCACUGGCCCGGUACUGACGCUGAGGUGCGAAAGCCAGGGGAGCGAACGGG
Molecule: ribosomal RNA, 253 nt
Filed under: uncultured bacterium
Lineage: Bacteria
Description: partial 16S ribosomal RNA
Rfam family: Bacterial small subunit ribosomal RNA
Source: RNAcentral